UUGGAGGGCAAGUCUGGUGCCAGCAGCCGCGGUAAUUCCAGCUCCAAUAGCGUAUAUUAAAGUUGUUGCAGUUAAAAAGCUCGUAGUUGAAUUUCGGGAUCAGACUGUCGGUCGUGCCUCGGUACGCACUGGCAUUAUUGGUUCCUACCUUCUGAAGAACCGCGAUGUCAUUAAUUUGGUGUCGCGGGGAAUCAGGACUGUUACUUUGAAAAAAUUAGAGUGUUUAAAGCAGGCUUACGCUUGAAUACAUUAGCAUGGAAUAAUGAAAUAGGACGUUUGAUUCUAUUUUGUUGGUUUCUAGGAUCGACGUAAUGAUUAAUAGGGAUAGUUGGGGGCAUUAGUAUUCAAUUGUCAGAGGUGAAAUUCUUGGAUUUAUUGAAGACUAACUACUGCGAAAGCAUUUGCCAAGGAUGUUUUCAUUAAUCAAGAACGAAAGUUAGGGGAUCGAAGACGAUCAGAUACCGUCGUAGUCUUAACCAUAAACUAUGCCGACUAGGGAUCGGAUGAUGUUAAUUUUUUAAUGACUCAUUCGGCGCCUUACGGAAAC
This 547-nucleotide ribosomal RNA is filed under the name uncultured Glomus. RNAcentral describes it as "SSU rRNA". It matches the Rfam family "Eukaryotic small subunit ribosomal RNA", at positions 548 to 1098 of the family's 1831-position model. Lineage: Eukaryota; Fungi; Glomeromycota; Glomeromycetes; Glomerales; Glomeraceae. The record is from RNAcentral.